GUGCAGGUGUUUUACUGGGACCUUCCUUUAUCCAUUCAGGAGGGAUAUGAGCGGUUUCUCUCUCGUGAGACUCUGACUCUUCAUCAGUAUCAGGUUUUUGGACAUUUGAAAAGGCUUGGGUAUGUUGUGAACAGAUUUGACCCCAGUUCCGUCCCGUCCACAUAUGAGAGACAGCUGAAUCUGCCAGCAUCAUCAUUGGACAAACAGAGAAAACAGCUGAAGAGGAAGCGCGCUCUAAGUCCUGUGUCCAGGUACA
Long non-coding RNA from Sinocyclocheilus anshuiensis, 256 nucleotides. RefSeq lists it as uncharacterized. NCBI's taxonomy places the organism in Eukaryota, Metazoa, Chordata, Actinopteri, Cypriniformes, Cyprinidae. The record is from RefSeq and is a predicted model, not a curated record. The transcript is spliced from 3 exons.